UACGUAGGUGGCAAGCGUUGUCCGGAUUUACUGGGCGUAAAGAGCGCGCAGGCGGUCGUUCAAGUCGCGUGUGAAGGCCCCCGGCUCAACUGGGGAGGGUCACGCGAUACUGAUCGACUGGAAGGCAGGAGAGGGUAGUGGAAUUCCCGGUGUAGUGGUGAAAUGCGUAGAUAUCUGGAGGAACACCGGUGGCGAAAGCGGCUCACUGGACCGUCUCUGACGCUGAGGUGCGAAAGCUAGGGUAGCAAACGGG
RNAcentral lists this ribosomal RNA (253 nucleotides) under uncultured bacterium. RNAcentral describes it as "partial 16S ribosomal RNA". It matches the Rfam family "Bacterial small subunit ribosomal RNA", at positions 524 to 776 of the family's 1533-position model. The record is from RNAcentral.